RNAcentral lists this unclassified non-coding RNA (267 nucleotides) under uncultured fungus. RNAcentral describes it as "partial contains small subunit ribosomal RNA, internal transcribed spacer 1, and 5.8S ribosomal RNA". The stretch from base 1 to 73 matches the Rfam family "Eukaryotic small subunit ribosomal RNA", at positions 1759 to 1831 of the family's 1831-position model. Lineage: Eukaryota; Fungi. The record is from RNAcentral.
GCAAACUUGGUCAUUUAGAGGAAGUAAAAGUCGUAACAAGGUUUCCGUAGGUGAACCUGCGGAAGGAUCAUUACCGUAGGGGGCUCGCCCCCUUCGAGAUAGCACCCUUGAUUUUUGAGUACCUUUCUGUUUCCUCGGCGGGUUCGCCCGCCAACGGGGACCUCUCAAAACCCUUUUGUAAUAGCAGUAUCUUCUGAAAAACAAAAGCAAAAAAUCAAAACUUUCAACAACGGAUCUCUUGGUUCUGGCAUCGAUGAAGAACGCAGC